AGGAGUAUCGUAUAGCGGCAAUUACGGCGGACUGUAAAUCCGCUGCUUCGGCUUCACAGGUUCGAGUCCUGUUACUCCUACAA
Molecule: transfer RNA, 83 nt
Filed under: Larkinella rosea
Lineage: Bacteria; Pseudomonadati; Bacteroidota; Cytophagia; Cytophagales; Spirosomataceae
Description: tRNA-Tyr
Rfam family: tRNA
About the family: Transfer RNA (tRNA) molecules are approximately 80 nucleotides in length. Their secondary structure includes four short double-helical elements and three loops (D, anti-codon, and T loops).
Source: RNAcentral